GGCCCUUAGGUACCAGGCUUGUAAGCUGGGGACUGACAACCCUUUGAUUUCCGACUCUGUUGCCUCCGGGGCGACCCUGCCUUCGGGCGGGGGCUCCGGGUGGACACUUCAAACUCUUGCGUAACUUUGCAGUCUGAGUAAACUUAAUUAAUAAAUUAAAACUUUUAACAACGGAUCUCUUGGUUCUGGCAUCGAUGAAGAACGCAGCGAAAUGCGAUAAGUAAUGUGAAUUGCAGAAUUCAGUGAAUCAUCGAAUCUUUGAACGCACAUUGCGCCCCCUGGUAUUCCGGGGGGCAUGCCUGUUCGAGCGUCAUUUCACCACUCAAGCCUCGCUUGGUAUUGGGCAACGCGGUCCGCCGCGUGCCUCAAAUCGUCCGGCUGGGUCUUCUGUCCCCUAAGCGUUGUGGAAACUAUUCGCUAAAGGGUGUUCGGGAGGCUACGCCGUAAAACAACCCCAUUUCUAAGGUUGACCUCGGAUCAGGUAGGGAUACCCGCUGAACUUAAGCAUAUCAAUAAGCGGAGGAA
This 525-nucleotide ribosomal RNA is filed under the name Cladosporium cladosporioides. RNAcentral describes it as "eukaryotic LSU rRNA". The stretch from base 160 to 313 matches the Rfam family "5.8S ribosomal RNA". The record is from RNAcentral. Lineage: Eukaryota; Fungi; Ascomycota; Dothideomycetes; Cladosporiales; Cladosporiaceae.